CGUAAAGCGCAUGCAGGCGGCCUGUUAAGUCAGAUGUGAAAGACCCGGGGCGUUAACCUCGGAAUUGCAUUUGUAAACUAGGCAGGCUAGAGUCUUGUAGAGGGGGGUAGGAAGUUUCAGGUGUAGCGGUGAAAUAGCGUAGAGAUCUGAAGGAAUACCAGUGGCGAAGGCGGCCCCCUCGGACAAAGACUGACGCUCAGAUGCGAAAGCGUGGGGAGCAAACAGGAUUAGAUACCCUGGUAG
Molecule: ribosomal RNA, 243 nt
Filed under: uncultured bacterium
Lineage: Bacteria
Description: partial 16S ribosomal RNA
Rfam family: Bacterial small subunit ribosomal RNA
Source: RNAcentral